CGCGGGAUAGCUCAGUUGGUAGAGCGCUGGACUCAUAAUCCAGGUGUCGUCGGUUCAAGUCCGGCUCCCGCAACCA
RNAcentral lists this transfer RNA (76 nucleotides) under Rhizobium sp. AN5. RNAcentral describes it as "tRNA_Met_CAT". It matches the Rfam family "tRNA". Rfam says of the family: Transfer RNA (tRNA) molecules are approximately 80 nucleotides in length. Lineage: Bacteria; Pseudomonadati; Pseudomonadota; Alphaproteobacteria; Hyphomicrobiales; Rhizobiaceae. The record is from RNAcentral.